UUCCGCGAGUCCUUUCCCCCGCGCGUCCGUGCAGUGGACGCGAGGCUCCAAUUCACAGUACAGAGAUGACAGAUACCUGGAGAGAGGAUUCAGCUCCCUCCUCCCUCCAGCCUGAAGGUGGCAAUAGAGAGCGCCGCUGUGCAGUGAAUUAAGUCAGCCGUUCUGCCUCAGUCUCUCUCACAUGACCGGAGGGAGGAAGGAAAUGUUUCAUACACAGUGUGUCUACGGUCCAUGCAUUGGAUUGCCCACUGGCAGCUGGUAAAGCCAUUGAAGGUGUGCGUGGCGUGUGUGAUGAGACCUAUCCUGAUCCUGUCCGUGUGGAGUCUGUGGGAAUUCCUGUGGAGGACCUUCUGACCAACCCCUCAAGUCCGUCAGUCACGUCAGUGGAGUUCUGUGGAGGAAGGUGUUUCUAUAGAUUAGUAAAUCUGCCACAGCGCCUGCCAUCUCCUCUGGUGUGCCCGGAGAGCCAUGGAAGGUCAGUUCACUGGAGAGGUACAAAUCUGCCACCAAUCUCACUAAAGCUGCCCAUAAUGUGAUGGUC
This is a long non-coding RNA of Rana temporaria (common frog), 541 nucleotides long. RefSeq lists it as uncharacterized. The transcript is spliced from 3 exons. NCBI's taxonomy places the organism in Eukaryota, Metazoa, Chordata, Amphibia, Anura, Ranidae. The record is from RefSeq and is a predicted model, not a curated record.